This 495-nucleotide ribosomal RNA is filed under the name uncultured bacterium. RNAcentral's name for it is "partial 16S ribosomal RNA". It matches the Rfam family "Bacterial small subunit ribosomal RNA", at positions 28 to 507 of the family's 1533-position model. The record is from RNAcentral.
GACGAACGCUGGCGGCGUGCCUAAUACAUGCAAGUAGAACGCUGAAGGAGGAGCUUGCUUCUCUGGAUGAGUUGCGAACGGGUGAGUAACGCGUAGGUAACCUGCCUGGUAGCGGGGGAUAACUAUUGGAAACGAUAGCUAAUACCGCAUAAUAGCAGUUGUUGCAUGAUAACUGUUUGAAAGGUGCAAUUGCACCACUACCAGAUGGACCUGCGUUGUAUUAGCUAGUUGGUGGGGUAACGGCUCACCAAGGCGACGAUACAUAGCCGACCUGAGAGGGGGAUCGGCCACACUGGGAAUGAGACACGGCCCAGACUCCUACGGGAGGCAGCAGUAGGGAAUCUUCGGCAAUGGACGGAAGUCUGACCGAGCAACGCCGCGUGAGUGAAGAAGGUUUUCGGAUCGUAAAGCUCUGUUGUAAGAGAAGAACGAGUGUGAGAGUGGAAAGUUCACACUGUGACGGUAUCUUACCAGAAAGAGACGGCUAACUACGUG